CCUACGGGAGGCAGCAGUGAGGAAUAUUGGUCAAUGGGCGCGAGCCUGAACCAGCCAAGUAGCGUGAAGGAUGACUGCCCUACGGGUUGUAAACUUCUUUUAUACAGGAAUAAAGUGAGGCACGUGUGCCUUUUUGUAUGUACUUUAUGAAUAAGGAUCGGCUAACUCCGUGCCAGCAGCCGCGGUAAUACGGAGGAUCCGAGCGUUAUCCGGAUUUAUUGGGUUUAAAGGGUGCGUAGGGGGGUUGUUAAGUCAGUUGUGAAAGUUUGCGGCUCAACCGUAGAAUUGCAUUUGAUACUGGGAGUCUUGAGUGCAGUUGAGGUAGGCGGAAUGCGUGGUGUAGCGGUGAAAUGCUUAGAUAUCACGAAGAACUCCGAUUGCGAAGGCAGCGUACUAAGCUGCAACUGACGUUGAUGCACGAAAGUGUGGGUAUCAAACAGGAUUAGAUACCCUGGUAGUC
RNAcentral lists this ribosomal RNA (460 nucleotides) under uncultured bacterium. Its description in RNAcentral is "partial 16S ribosomal RNA". It matches the Rfam family "Bacterial small subunit ribosomal RNA", at positions 338 to 795 of the family's 1533-position model. The record is from RNAcentral.